This 463-nucleotide ribosomal RNA is filed under the name uncultured bacterium. RNAcentral describes it as "partial 16S ribosomal RNA". It matches the Rfam family "Bacterial small subunit ribosomal RNA", at positions 28 to 507 of the family's 1533-position model. The record is from RNAcentral.
GACGAACGCUGGCGGCGUGCUUAACACAUGCAAGUCGAACGGAAAGGCCUUUUCGGAGGUACUCGAGUGGCGAACGGGUGAGUAACACGUGGGUGAUCUGCCCUGCACUCUGGGAUAAGCCUGGGAAACUGGGUCUAAUACCGGAUAGGACCGCACUUUAGUGUGUGUGGUGGAAAGUUUUUUCGGUGUAGGAUGAGCCCGCGGCCUAUAAGCUUGUUGGUGGGGUAAUGGCCUACCAAGGCGGCGACGGGUAGCCGGACUGAGAGGUUGUUCGGCCACAUUGGGACUGAGAGACGGCCCAGACGCCUACGGGAGGCAGCAGUGGGGAAUAUUGCACAAUGGGCGCAAGCCUGAUGCAGCGACGCCGCGUGGGGGAUGACGGCCUUCGGGUUGUAAACUCCGUUCGCCAGGGACGAAGCGUUUUGUGACGGUACCUGGAGAAGAAGCACCGGCUAACUACGUG